This is a non-coding RNA of Chrysemys picta bellii (western painted turtle), 2058 nucleotides long. The record is from RefSeq and is a predicted model, not a curated record. Lineage: Eukaryota; Metazoa; Chordata; Testudines; Emydidae.
ACUAUAUCAGUAGUUGUUUCAGUGCUCUGUUACAUUUUCUGUGAAGGAGAAUGCUGGAUGUAUACAAUCCUCUAACCAAAUGGUGUAGCAAUUAGUUGAAUACAUUUCUUGUUGUUAGGACUAGUCUCUAUUUUAUACUUUUUGAAGAACAAGAGAUGAGGCUAUACACACUACUUCUUGAAUACAUUCUAGGUAGAUCCAAACUUGAAAGAUACAGGCUCUAACCACUAGAUAGGGCUGCUGCCACCAGCUAACUGCUAGGAAGGAGAUCCACCCAUUGACAUCUACGGAGAACAUGGGCAUAAUGGCCCAGCCCUGCUGAAGGACGCACAGGAGACUCGGAGGAAUGGAGAAAAGAAAAAACAAAAACAAAACAAGGCAGCUAGAAGUAGACCAGGUGUCACAACAGCCUAACAUAUCAAGAACUGAAUAAGCUGGAGGCCCAGCUGCUUUGCUUCAUGUGAGGAUUUCAGCAACCCAAAUCCCAUCCUGUCCUAGCUGUUCAUUGCCCGGACCUGCAGGAGCUAAAAGUAUCACAGAAGCAGCACUGUCGACCUCAGGCAAGUGAGAUUCUUUUAUUGCUUUUGUAGUAACCUUUUCUGGCUCGCUUUAAAGCAGUGCAUUCCAGUGGAAGCUGUUCCUUUUUUCUGUGUGAGAAAGGGUCCAACUCUAUUACCCCUUUGUCUACCUCCUAUGUCAGAACACAGUUUAUAGAGAUUAACUCCCCUAGGCCUUCCCCUCCCAUCCACUGUUAAGUGUUCAGUGCCUUCCCCCAGGGAUGUGAAUCUCCCACUCCCAAAAUGUGAGACUCUAAAAGCACUAUCAUGUAUUUUUACCCCUCCUCUGCCAAUUUAGAAUUUUAAUAGGAGAAACUGCCUAGGCUUUCUAGUGAAAUCAGACCCUGUGUUCUAAAUGAAGGUGACCAGAUGUCUCAGUUUAGUUACAGUCUGGUGUUUUGAGAGGAAUCAAGACACUGAACUACCCCAGAUUGCCAAUCUCAUCUGUACAGAUGGCCGACUUUGAAAUCCUGCCCCACCUCCAUUGCAUGUGAGAUGCAGAUCAGCAAAAUGUGCUGCAAUCAGCAAGAGACAAAACCUCUUCAAGUCAUACUCCUAACCCCCCCCCCAAAAAACGGUCCCUCUGCGGGCCCCUCUGAUAACAAUGGGAAUUCUUUAGGGAGCCAAUGAUGAAACUCCUUAUAAAGGGAUACACUGCUCUCUCACUCCAGCUGCUGUUUCAGUAGCAAAACAAGGGGGGGGGGGAUUUGGUUACUUUCAUCUAAAUCCUUUUAGUGUGAAUGCAAAGGGUGAGCAUUCACUCUUGCUUCACACUCCCUUACUUCUCCAUCAAUGCAUUUAGUCUUGGGGGUUGGGAGGUAACACAUAUUAUUGGUGACGAUUUAUUGUAGAUUUAUUUGACCAUUUCAUCCUACAGCCUUAUAGAAACAAGAUACUCUUUCGAUAAAAUGUGGUGAGAACGUAACAAGUGAAAUAAACACAGCAGCAUAGCAAGUAAUGUCUUGAAAAAAAAUCUUCCUGCCUUCUUUGUGGUGGUUUCCCUGGAAGACACUGACUGUUUCAUAUUCUAAAAAGCCAGAUGAGCAGCAUGAAGUCAUUAGUCACCCAGGUAUUUACAGUGUUUUUCCUAUUUCCUUUCUCCCAUGGCCUCUGCGGUCAGCAGUAUAAAAUUCCUAGGAACUCCCACCUAAACACAAGUUUCCUGUUUAUGCUCCCAAUGGCUUUUAUGUUUAGCUGUUAAAAGCCAUUGACUAAAGUACCAUAAAAAGAAUAUGAAGAGAGACUGCAGGUGAGCAGAAAAAAACAUGACAGAGUUACUUCUGUAUUCAUUUUUAUUUGGGAACAGGGACAAAAGCGUAAAAGGAACAAAGAUACCAGUUAACGAAUGCAUUAUUGCCUCCGAUGAACCAGGCUACAGAGACAGCAUUGCCUUUCUGCUAUAGCUUGUCAUCCAAAAUUUGCUGUUUUUCUUGAUCUCAAACUAAAAAUUAAUGGUACAAGUGAUCAUGACUUGAUCACAUUUAUAAUGUGUAAGCAGAAU